GGGCUGGUGAUGUAACAGGCAGCAUCGUAGUCCUGCAAACUACUUGUAAGAGUUCGACUCUCUUCCAGUCCA
This 72-nucleotide transfer RNA is filed under the name Acidobacteriota bacterium. RNAcentral describes it as "tRNA-Ala". It matches the Rfam family "tRNA". Rfam says of the family: Transfer RNA (tRNA) molecules are approximately 80 nucleotides in length. Their secondary structure includes four short double-helical elements and three loops (D, anti-codon, and T loops). Further hydrogen bonds mediate the characteristic L-shaped molecular structure. tRNAs have two regions of fundamental functional importance: the anti-codon, which is responsible for specific mRNA codon recognition, and the 3' end, to which the tRNAs corresponding amino acid is attached (by aminoacyl-tRNA synthetases). tRNAs cope with the degeneracy of the genetic code in two manners: having more than one tRNA (with a specific anti-codon) for a particular amino acid; and 'wobble' base-pairing, i.e. permitting non-standard base-pairing at the 3rd anti-codon position. Lineage: Bacteria; Pseudomonadati; Acidobacteriota. The record is from RNAcentral.